AACCUAAUAGCAUAAAUUUGAAAUAACAAAAAUAAUGGAGAAGCAUAAAAAUAUUAAAGAACGUUAAAAGUGUUAUUGCUUGGUUUGGCAGGUGGAAUGUUGAAUGGAAUUUGGAUGAGAAUCAGAACAUUGGCUCCCAAAAUACACUUCGUUGGAAUCUAAGUUUCCGUUCCGGGUGGGAAAAUGCUCAGAAUCCCGUCCAACUUUCCAUCCGCCAAACCAAGCCUUAUAUAUACCUUCUCAAAGUUAAGAGAUAUACAUAGAAUCCCCUCCUACAAUCACUCGUAAAAGUUAUGGGUACUUAAAUCUACCCGUUCUCUCAAUCAAAUCAUUCUAUGCAGUCUAUUUAUUUCA
This 354-nucleotide long non-coding RNA is filed under the name Linum usitatissimum (flax). Its description in RNAcentral is "long non-coding RNA (LUSI_LNC001381)". The record is from RNAcentral. Lineage: Eukaryota; Viridiplantae; Streptophyta; Magnoliopsida; Malpighiales; Linaceae.